Molecule: long non-coding RNA, 441 nt
Filed under: Dermacentor andersoni
Lineage: Eukaryota; Metazoa; Arthropoda; Arachnida; Ixodida; Ixodidae
Description: uncharacterized LOC126530473
Source: RNAcentral
GCCAGAGCAGCUCCCUCAUACAGACUCCGCAAGCCAAGAGGCCGUGGAGGCAAAUGCAGGCAGACAGCACACCUCGAACAGCCACCUUGACUGCGGGUGUGUCACCCUAGUCGCCAAGGAAACAUUUGAGGGAAAGCGACAGGCAAUGUGAACAGCCACUUCUCCAUGUAAACGAUACUCUUUCUCUCGGAUGACUACUACGCCUCGCCUCGCCAGCACACUUGUGCACAAAGAUGCUGCGGAGGCACGUGCAGGUCAGAGGCAAGAAGCAGUGGUACUGGUGUCGACAUUCACCGAAUUUCUUUUUCUUACACUGAGGCAGCCAGCACACCUCGAACAGCCACCUUGACUGCGGGUGUAUCAGUAGAUUCCUGUUGUACAUAUGCUCAUAAUAAACUUCAGUAAACUUGAACUUGAUAAUAAACUUGAAGGCAAAUGGUA